AUUGAACGCUGGCGGCAGGCUUAACACAUGCAAGUCGAGCGGGGUGAUGGUGCUUGCACUAUCACUUAGCGGCGGACGGGUGAGUAAUGCUUAGGAAUCUGCCUAUUAGUGGGGGACAACAUCUCGAAAGGGAUGCUAAUACCGCAUACGUCCUACGGGAGAAAGCAGGGGAUCACUUGUGACCUUGCGCUAAUAGAUGAGCCUAAGCCGGAUUAGCUAGUUGGUGGGGUAAAGGCCUACCAAGGCGACGAUCUGUAGCGGGUCUGAGAGGAUGAUCCGCCACACUGGGACUGAGACACGGCCCAGACUCCUACGGGAGGCAGCAGUGGGGAAUAUCGGACAAUGGGGGGAACCCUGAUCCAGCCAUGCCGCGUGUGUGAAGAAGGCCUUAUGGUUGUAAAGCACUUUAAGCGAGGAGGAGGCUCUUUUGGUUAAUACCCAAGAUGAGUGGACGUUACUCGCAGAAUAAGCACCGGCUAACUCUGUGCCAGCAGCCGCAGUAA
Molecule: ribosomal RNA, 503 nt
Filed under: uncultured bacterium
Lineage: Bacteria
Description: partial 16S ribosomal RNA
Rfam family: Bacterial small subunit ribosomal RNA
Source: RNAcentral